RNAcentral lists this long non-coding RNA (523 nucleotides) under Malus domestica (apple). RNAcentral describes it as "long non-coding RNA (MDOM_LNC019483)". The record is from RNAcentral. Lineage: Eukaryota; Viridiplantae; Streptophyta; Magnoliopsida; Rosales; Rosaceae.
CCAAAAGUACUCCCUUUGAGGGAGUGGCUGGUUUUGGGGAGGGAUAAGGUUGGUGUGUGUGUUGAUUAGUGAGUUUUGUCAAAAACAUGCAAGUGUAUGUAAGAUAAGUUUAUGAAAUAAUUCAAUCACAAUUAUUUCAAUCAUCAUUUAUACAAAUAUCUAACACUUUAAAUACAUAAUAAAUCAUUUAAAAAACAUAUCACAUAUACUUUAUGAAAUAAUUCAAAACUUUGAAUCAAUACACCAAACCUUUUUGUUCUUGGCAAGAACAUCAAGAAUAAUGAAGAACAUCCAUGAAAAACCCAAAUUUUUCCAUGAACUUUUUCCACCCAAAAACAUUCCAAAACCAUUCUUACUUAAGGGAAAUAACAUCUAACCAAACUAGGGUACUUAGGGGUUCCAAAGAACACAUUAAAACACUUUUAACAAGUCAAACAAGAACCCAAAAAAUCACCCUUUGAUUUUGGCCGAAUUUUCCCAAAAGCAUGGCACCAAAUUUUAGCUCCAAUAUUCAUGCUCAUAU